AACGAACGCUGGCGGCAUGCCUAACACAUGCAAGUCGAACGCGUGUAGCAAUACACGAGUGGCGGACGGGUGAGUAACGCGUGGGAACCUGCCCAGUGGUAGGGAAUAACUGCGGGAAACUGCAGCUAAUACCCUAUACGUCCUUUGGGGAAAGAUUCAUCGCCAUUGGAGGGGCCCGCGUCGGAUUAGCUAGUUGGCGGGGUAAUGGCCCACCAAGGCAACGAUCCGUAGCUGGUCNGAGAGGAUGAUCAGCCACACUGGGACUGAGAUACGGCCCAGACUCCUACGGGAGCAGCAGUGGGGAAUAUUGGACGAAUGGGGGAAACCCUGAUCCAGCAAUGCCGCGUGAGUGAAGAAGGCCUUGGUU
RNAcentral lists this ribosomal RNA (367 nucleotides) under uncultured bacterium. RNAcentral's name for it is "bacterial SSU rRNA". It matches the Rfam family "Bacterial small subunit ribosomal RNA", at positions 29 to 424 of the family's 1533-position model. The record is from RNAcentral.